UGCCUCGUAGCUCAGUUGGAUGAGAGUGCCGCACUACGAAUGCGGAGGCCGCGGGUUCGAGUCCUGCCGGGGCAG
Molecule: transfer RNA, 75 nt
Filed under: Phycisphaerales bacterium
Lineage: Bacteria; Pseudomonadati; Planctomycetota; Phycisphaerae; Phycisphaerales
Description: tRNA-Arg
Rfam family: tRNA
About the family: Transfer RNA (tRNA) molecules are approximately 80 nucleotides in length. Their secondary structure includes four short double-helical elements and three loops (D, anti-codon, and T loops).
Source: RNAcentral